Non-coding RNA from Penaeus vannamei (Pacific white shrimp), 466 nucleotides. Lineage: Eukaryota; Metazoa; Arthropoda; Malacostraca; Decapoda; Penaeidae. The record is from RefSeq and is a predicted model, not a curated record.
CGUGUGUGCAUGUGUGUGUAUGUAUGUGAGGAAGCUUACUGCCAUGAGGAACUUGAAGGUCUUGAUGGGAAAAAGCUCCGCCUUGAGAAGGAGGAGGCUGAAGGAGAGAGGAAAACAUGCUUCUGGUUGGAGGAGGAAGAAGAACUGCAACUGGCCAUGGCUAUGUCACUAUCUCUCCAGACAAGCGAGUAAGAGGCAGCAGAUUAUUAUGAUACAGAGUAAACGCGCUGCAGCAUCAUGAAGGAGAAUUGAAGCCCUAAACACAAACACACACAAUGUUUGUGGAAACCUCACGUUGGCAGUGUGAUUAUGCGGUAUCCGUGAAUUGUGGUCACCUACAUUUAUAUAAGAAGUACAGCUUAUUAAGUGAUUAUGUAUAGUUUAUUAUUGUAUAAUAUUCAUGGGAAAUAUUAUGCAGGCACAUCACAUUUAUUUACUCAGUUGAUUUUCAAAGAAUCUAAAUGGA